RNAcentral lists this ribosomal RNA (1112 nucleotides) under uncultured archaeon. RNAcentral's name for it is "bacterial SSU rRNA". It matches the Rfam family "Archaeal small subunit ribosomal RNA", at positions 335 to 1448 of the family's 1478-position model. The record is from RNAcentral.
GCAGGCGAGAAAACUUUGCGAUGUGCGAAAGCACGACAAGGUUAAUCCGAGUGGUUUCUGCUAAAGGAACCUUUUGUCAGUCCUAGAAACACUGAUGAAUAAGGGGUGGGCAAGUUCUGGUGUCAGCCGCCGCGGUAAAACCAGCACCUCAAGUGGUCAGGAUGAUUAUUGGGCCUAAAGCAUCCGUAGCCGGCUCUGUAAGUUUUCGGUUAAAUCUGUACGCUCAACGUACAGGCUGCCGGGAAUACUGCAGAGCUAGGGAGUGGGAGAGGUAGACGGUACUCGGUAGGAAGGGGUAAAAUCCUUUGAUCUAUUGAUGACCACCUGUGGCGAAGGCGGUCUACCAGAACACGUCCGACGGUGAGGGAUGAAAGCUGGGGGAGCAAACCGGAUUAGAUACCCGGGUAGUCCCAGCUGUAAACUAUGCAAACUCAGUGAUGCAUUGGCUUGUGGCCAAUGCAGUGCUGCAGGGAAGCCGUUAAGUUUGCCGCCUGGGAAGUACGUACGCAAGUAUGAAACUUAAAGGAAUUGGCGGGGGAGCACCACAAGGGGUGAAGCCUGCGGUUCAAUUGGAGUCAACGCCAGAAAUCUUACCCGGAGAGACAGCAGAAUGAAGGUCAAGCUGAAGACUUUACCAGACAAGCUGAGAGGUGGUGCAUGGCCGUCGCCAGCUCGUGCCGUGAGAUGUCCUGUUAAGUCAGGUAACGAGCGAGAUCCCUGCCUCUAGUUGCCACCAUUACUCUCAGGAGUAGUGGGGCGAAUUAGCGGGACCGCCGCAGUUAAUGCGGAGGAAGGAAGGGGCCACGGCAGGUCAGUAUGCCCCGAAACUCUGGGGCCACACGCGGGCUGCAAUGGUAACGACAAUUGGUUUCAAAUCCGAAAGGAUGAGGUAAUCCUCAAACGUUACCACAGUUAUGACUGAGGGCUGCAACUCGCCCUCACGAAUAUGGAAUCCCUAGUAACUGCGUGUCAUUAUCGCGCGGUGAAUACGUCCCUGCUCCUUGCACACACCGCCCGUCGUUUCAUUGAAGUGAGCUUUUAGCGAGGUGACGUCUAAUUGGCGUUAUCGAACUUGAGGUUCGUGACAAGGGAAAAGUCGUAACAAGGUAACC